This 440-nucleotide ribosomal RNA is filed under the name uncultured bacterium. RNAcentral describes it as "partial 16S ribosomal RNA". It matches the Rfam family "Bacterial small subunit ribosomal RNA", at positions 338 to 795 of the family's 1533-position model. The record is from RNAcentral.
CCUACGGGUGGCAGCAGUGGGGAAUAUUGCUCAAUGGGCGGGACACUGAUGCAGCGACGCCGCGUGAGUGAAGAAGUUAUUCGUUAUGUUAAGCUCUAUCAGUCGGGUAGAAAAUGACGGUACCCGAGUCCGAAGCACCGGAUCACUACGUGACAGCAGGCGCGGUACUACGUCGGGUGCAAGCGUUAUCCGGAUUUACUGGGUGUAAAGGGUGCGUAGACGGCAGUGCAAGUCUGGAGUGAAAGGCGGGGGCUCACCCCCCGGACUGCUCUGGAAACUGUACGGCUGGAGUGCAGGAGAGGUAUGUGGAAUGCGUGGUGUAGCGGUGAAAUGCGUAGAUAUUAGGAGGAACACCAGUGGCGAAGGCGGCUUACUGGACUGUAACUGACGUUGAGGCUCGAAAGCGUGGGUAUCGAACAGGAUUAGAUACCCGUGUAGUC